Molecule: ribosomal RNA, 254 nt
Filed under: uncultured bacterium
Lineage: Bacteria
Description: partial 16S ribosomal RNA
Rfam family: Bacterial small subunit ribosomal RNA
Source: RNAcentral
CGGACGGGUGAGUAACGCGUGGAAAAUCUGCCGUAUACUGGGGAUAACACUUAGAAAUAGGUGCUAAUACCGCAUAAGCGCACAGCUUCGCAUGAAGCGGUGUGAAAAACUCUGGUGGUAUACGAUGGUUCCGCGUCUGAUUAGCUAGUUGGUGGGGUAAUGGCCUACCAAGGCAACGAUCAGUAGCCGGCCUGAGAGGGUGAACGGCCACAUUGGGACUGAGACACGGCCCAAACUCCUACGGAAGGCAGCAG